GAUGAACGCUGGCGGCGUGCCUAACACAUGCAAGUCGAGCGAAGCGCUUAAAUUAGAUUUCUUCGGAAUGACGAUGUUUGUGACUGAGCGGCGGACGGGUGAGUAACGCGUGGGUAACCUGCCUCAUACAGGGGGAUAACAGUUAGAAAUGACUGCUAAUACCGCAUAAGACCCCAGCUUCGCAUAAAGCGGUGGUAAAAACUCCGGUGGUAUGAGAUGGACCCGCGUCUGAUUAGCAAGUUGGUAAGGUAACCGCUUACCAAGGCGACGAUCGCUAGCCGACCAGAGAGGGUGGGCCGCCACAUCGGGGCUGGGCCACGGCCCGGACUCCUACGGGAAGCAGCAGUGGGGAAUAUUGCACAAUGGCGGAAAUCAUGAUGGAGCGACGCCGCGAGAAGGAUGAAGUAUGUCAGUAUGUAAACUUCUAUCAGCAGGGAAGAAAGUGACGGUACCUGACUAGAAAGCCCCGGCUAACUACGUG
Molecule: ribosomal RNA, 481 nt
Filed under: uncultured bacterium
Lineage: Bacteria
Description: partial 16S ribosomal RNA
Rfam family: Bacterial small subunit ribosomal RNA
Source: RNAcentral